UGGCGGCGUGCCUAAUACAUGCAAGUCGAGCGGACCAAAGGGAGCUUGCUCCUGGAGGUCAGCGGCGAACGGGUGAGUAACACGUGGGCAACCUGCCUGUAAGACUGGGAUAACAUCGAGAAAUCGGUGCUAAUACCGGAUAAUAAAAAGAACUGCAUGGUUCUUUUUGAAAGAUGGUUUCGGCUAUCACUUACAGAUGGGCCCGCGGCGCAUUAGCUAGUUGGUGAGGUAACGGCUCACCAAGGCAACGAUGCGUAGCCGACCUGAGAGGGUGAUCGGCCACACUGGGACUGAGACACGGCCCAGACUCCUACGGGAGGCAGCAGUAGGGAAUCUUCCGCAAUGGACGAAAGUCUGACGGAGCAACGCCGCGUGAGUGAUGAAGGUUUUCGGAUCGUAAAACUCUGUUGUUAGGGAAGAACAAGUGCCGUUCGAAAGGGCGGCACCUUGACGGUACCUAACGAGAAAGCCACGGCUAACUACGUG
RNAcentral lists this ribosomal RNA (486 nucleotides) under uncultured bacterium. Its description in RNAcentral is "bacterial SSU rRNA". It matches the Rfam family "Bacterial small subunit ribosomal RNA", at positions 37 to 507 of the family's 1533-position model. The record is from RNAcentral.